Molecule: ribosomal RNA, 253 nt
Filed under: uncultured bacterium
Lineage: Bacteria
Description: partial 16S ribosomal RNA
Rfam family: Bacterial small subunit ribosomal RNA
Source: RNAcentral
UACGUAGGGUGCGAGCGUUGUCCGGAAUUAUUGGGCGUAAAGAGCUCGUAGGCGGCCUGUCGCGUCGGAUGUGAAAGCCCGGGGCUUAACCCCGGGUCUGCAUUCGAUACGGGCAGGCUAGAGUGUGGUAGGGGAGAUCGGAAUUCCUGGUGUAGCGGUGAAAUGCGCAGAUAUCAGGAGGAACACCGGUGGCGAAGGCGGAUCUCUGGGCCGUAACUGACGCUGAGGAGCGAAAGCAUGGGGAGCGAACAGG